Molecule: ribosomal RNA, 274 nt
Filed under: uncultured bacterium
Lineage: Bacteria
Description: partial 16S ribosomal RNA
Rfam family: Bacterial small subunit ribosomal RNA
Source: RNAcentral
AUACGGAGGGUCCGAGCGUUAAUCGGAAUUACUGGGCGUAAAGCGUACGUAGGCGGCUUGGUCAGUCGGAUGUGAAAGCCCCGGGCUUAACCUGGGAAUUGCACUCGAUACUGCCAGACUAGAGUUUAGUAGAGGAAUGCGGAAUUCCGGGUGUAGCGGUGAAAUGCGUAGAUAUCCGGAGGAACAUCAGUGGCGAAGGCGACUUGCUGGACUAAUACUGACGCUGAGGAGCGAAAGCGUGGGGAGCAAACGGGAUUAGAAACCCGGGUAGUCC